Molecule: ribosomal RNA, 839 nt
Filed under: uncultured bacterium
Lineage: Bacteria
Description: bacterial SSU rRNA
Rfam family: Bacterial small subunit ribosomal RNA
Source: RNAcentral
GGCUCAGAAUCAACGCUGGCGGCGCGCUUAACACAUGCAAGUCGAACGGGAAAGGGGAGCAAUCCCUGAGUACAGUGGCGUACGGGUGAGUAACACGUGGAUCAUCUACCUCCUGGUGGGGAAUAACUUUGGGAAACCGAAGCUAAUACCGCAUAAGCCCGAAAGGGGAAAGGCGCAAGUCGCCGGGAGAGGAGUCCGCGGCCGAUUAGCUAGUUGGUAGGGUAAAAGCCUACCAAGGCUGAGAUCGGUAGCCGGCCUGAGAGGGCACACGGCCACACUGGCACUGAAACACGGGCCAGACUCCUACGGGAGGCAGCAGUGGGGAAUCUUGCACAAUGGGGGAAACCCUGAUGCAGCGACGCCGCGUGAGCGAUGAAGCCCUUCGGGGUGUAAAGCUCUUUCGACAGGAACGAUAAUGACGGUACCUGGAGAAGAAGCUGCGGCUAACUACGUGCCAGCAGCCGCGGUAAUACGUAGGCAGCAAGCGUUGUUCGGAGUUACUGGGCGUAAAGAGUAUGUAGGCGGUUAUCCAAGUCUGGUGUGAAAUCUCCCGGCUCAACUGGGAGGGUGCGCCGGAUACUGGGUGACUGGAGCGUGGGAGAGGAAAGCGGAAUUCCUGGUGUAGCGGUGAAAUGCGUAGAUAUCAGGAGGAACACCAGCGGUGUAGACGGCUUUCUGGACCACGGCUGACGCUGAGAUACGAAAGCGUGGGUAGCAAACAGGAUUAGAUACCCUGGUAGUCCACGCCCUAAACGAUGCACAUUUGGUGUGAGCCAUUCAUUUGGUUCGUGCCGGAGCUAACGCGUUAAGUGUGCCGCCUGGGGAGUACGGUCGCAAGG